CAAUAGCGUAUAUUUAAGUUGUUGCAGUUAAAAAGCUCGUAGUUGGAUUUCUGCUGAUCGCUGUCGGUCUGCCGUCAGGUGUGUACUGGCAGUGUUUGGCAUCUAUUCAAGAUUGGGUGUCCACUUGAUUGUGUGCACUCGAUGUCGGAGCUAAUACUUUGAGAAAAUUAGAGUGUUCCACGCAGGCGCGUGCCUUGAAUACUGCAGCAUGGGAUAUUGGAAGGCCGAUUGAGCUUUCUUGUUGGUUCUCGGUUUGAUCGGAAUGAUUAAUAGGGAUAGUUGGGGGCAUUCGUAUUCAACUGUCAGAGGUGAAAUUCUUGGAUUUGUUGAAGACGGACUACUGCGAAAGCAUCUGCCAUGGAUGUUCUCAUUGA
RNAcentral lists this ribosomal RNA (374 nucleotides) under uncultured eukaryote. Its description in RNAcentral is "partial 18S ribosomal RNA". It matches the Rfam family "Eukaryotic small subunit ribosomal RNA", at positions 592 to 976 of the family's 1831-position model. The record is from RNAcentral.